AAAUUAAUGGAAAAGAGUAAUUUGCAUGAGGAAACCAAACCAAGAGGUGUGCCUUGAUGGGUACAACAUACUCCAUCUUCUCUAAACAUCUUAUUGAUGGAAACAACAUCCACAAAUUCCUUGAAGAAACAAACAAUAUAAAUAGACAAGGCAUUAAUAUGGUUAGUAGUCAAACACAAAUCAUCAUCAUAGUAAAGAGAUUACAUUGGUUGUCUAGCAACUAAAGUUCUCUUUGCUUAUUUUUUUUCAAGAACAUGGAUGUCUCAUAUCCCUUAUGUCGCACGACUAUUGUUUUAUUUAGAAUUGUUGUGGAAUAAACUAGUGUUUUGUAUUCAG
Molecule: long non-coding RNA, 336 nt
Filed under: Medicago truncatula (barrel medic)
Lineage: Eukaryota; Viridiplantae; Streptophyta; Magnoliopsida; Fabales; Fabaceae
Description: long non-coding RNA (MTRU_LNC002950)
Source: RNAcentral